CCUACGGGAGGCAGCAGUGAGGAAUAUUGGUCAAUGGACGCAAGUCUGAACCAGCCAUGCCGCGUGCAGGAAGACUGCUCUAUGAGUUGUAAACUUCUUUUGUACGAGGGUAAAUCCCGACACGUGUGCCGGUUUGCAUGUACUUUAUGAAUAAGGAUCGGCUAACUCCGUGCCAGCAGCAGCGGUACUACGGAGGAUCCAAGCGUUAUCCGGAUUUAUUGGGUUUAAAGGGAGCGUAGGGGGUUCGUUAAGUCAGUGGGGAAAGUCUGGGGCUCAACUCCAGCACUGCACUUGAUACUGUCGGGCUUGAGUUUAGUUGCGGUAGGCGGAAUGUAUGGUGUAGCGGUGAAAUGCAUAGAGAUCAUGCAGAACCCCGAUUGCGAAGGCAGCUUACCAAACUACGACUGACGUUGAGGCUCGAAAGCGUGGGGAGCAAACAGGAUUAGAUACCCGAGUAGUC
This 460-nucleotide ribosomal RNA is filed under the name uncultured bacterium. Its description in RNAcentral is "partial 16S ribosomal RNA". It matches the Rfam family "Bacterial small subunit ribosomal RNA", at positions 338 to 795 of the family's 1533-position model. The record is from RNAcentral.